GAAGAAGCAGCAGCAGCAGCAGCAGCAGAAGCAGAAGAAGCAGAAGAAGAAGAAGAGAGGGAAAAAAACGUCUAAUCACUGCGCUACACCAGUGCCUUCAGUUAGAGAUAGCAAUUCCGCUCCGGUCCACGCCAGCUCAAGUGUUGCUGCAGCAUGCCGUCUACCUCAAGCACAAAUUAACAAGGAUUUGGAUGCAAGUUUUUCUACCCCAGUCAAGAUGUCCUCUUAAAGCAUUACAGACAUUACCAGGCGUGAUUCUAACCACUCCCGUGCCUGUCUACAGACUGCACCUGAACUUUCAAGACAACUGGUGCGUUAAAAUCCCACCUUUCAAGAGGACAUAAACAGUCUGGUAAACCUAAAGUGCAGGUCACAUUUUGUUGUGAAUUGUGUGACUGUAAGGUCCUCUGUGUGCCAGAAAAAUGCAUAGGCCAUCUCAGGGCUAAUUUGAAGCAGCAUGUGACUGUUUGUUGUCUAUUCAAAAACUGUGAAUUUACAAGUAAUGUCCUUCAGUAGUCAUGUAAGCCGGAAGUACAAAUCUUACAGUGUUAAUGAUUUUAGAUAAUCUGUAAUAUCGCCAACAACUCCAACUGAUCUACCAGAAGCAGAUGAAGAAUUGCCUGCAGAGUGCAAUGAUCCACAGGCUACUGUUGGUUGUUCUGAAAUAGAAAGCAGCAUGUACCUAAUGCCUUUGGACAAUUAUACAAUUGAACAUAAACUUGCAUCAUUGUUUCUUUACAUGCAAACUGUUUUGUGCAGAGUUCUACAGAAUUACUCGAGUGGAGCUGAAGAGGAUCUUCCUGUCAUCAUUGGAUGCACACUCAUCGCAGCUUAUUAAGCUGUACAGAUCACGCUGCGGAACACUUGGAAAAGAAAUGAGGAUCCUUCUAGACAACAUUGAUGAACAGACAACUGAUGUGCUUGCCCACAGAAAGUCUACAGCUCUAUGGGGUCUACCGUUCUUUGAUGCAGAAGCCGGACAGCUUUCUGAAGAAAUAUCUGACCCGGAGGAAUUUUGUGUCAAGGGAGUUGAACUUGGAAUACUCAGUUGUUGAAGAUGGCGUUGGGAUGGUCUGCUCAAGUCCAACAACAAUAAGCAUCGCGCUGGAUAUUGAGGAACGGAUUGUCCUGGAGGAUGUAUGCGACUUCCCAACCGCAUUUGCCCUUUUGUUUGGGCUCAUCUAGGCUCUUAACCUGGACUAUCCGAAGGACUUACGGUACACAUUUUUGAAGUAAUUCAAAAGUUGUUCAUGAACCUUGAUACCCAGUGCUCUACCCGGGUUCAGGCCUUAAAGAACAGUUUGCUGAAGUAGCCUGCCAUAUCUAAACCACGCCUAUGGUCUUGGCUGGAUUUUCAUGAGGGACUGAAAUGUCACCAACUUGACCAAAUGCCGAUGGUAUGAGUUGACCAAAUUGGUCAACACCCUUAAGUAUUAGAUGUUUAACAAGUUUAUUAUUUGCCUUACUACUUUGAAUAUUACAGCUGAAAUAUCCACUGCUGGUCCUGCACUUUAGGUGUAUUAUAAUUUAAUAUUAAUUUUAGUUUAUUGUUGUUACUGCCACAUAGCGCCAUGCAGACGCAUUUAUUUUUGUUUUGACCGAGUAUUAGGAGGGAACUUUAGUCCGUGUCUUUGGGUUUAAAAUGGCGUGAAGUAGAGAUUAUAAGGAUGUUGACCCCUGCUGUCUACUGUUCAAGUGUUGAAAUUGAAAGACAAUAUUGUUUUGCAAGCAAAUAACUUAUUGUUAUUAAACAUUUUGUGUUUUAAGAUGUUUUUCUUUUAUUUAACAGUGUACAUUUCUAAUUAAUUAAAAAUGAAGGCUGUAAAAAAGAAAAGUUGAGUAUACUUAAAAAGGUUAAGUAACCAGCUGCACAGCUUUUUUGAGUAUACUCAACAUAA
Long non-coding RNA from Anarrhichthys ocellatus (wolf-eel), 1898 nucleotides. RefSeq lists it as uncharacterized. The transcript has 4 exons. NCBI's taxonomy places the organism in Eukaryota, Metazoa, Chordata, Actinopteri, Perciformes, Anarhichadidae. The record is from RefSeq and is a predicted model, not a curated record.